AGUCGAGCGGAGAUGAGGUGCUUGCACCUUAUCUUAGCGGCGGACGGGUGAGUAAUGCUUAGGAAUCUGCCAUUUAGUGGGGGACAACAUUCCGAAAGGAAUGCUAAUACCGCAUACGUCCUACGGGAGAAAGCAGGGGAUCUUCGGACCUUGCGCUAAAUGAUGAGCCUAAGUCGGAUUAGCUAGUUGGUGGGGUAAAGGCCUACCAAGGCGACGAUCUGUAGCGGGUCUGAGAGGAUGAUCCGCCACACUGGGACUGAGACACGGCCCAGACUCCUACGGGAGGCAGCAGUGGGGAAUUUUGGACAAUGGGCGAAAGCCUGAUCCAGCAAUGCCGCGUGCAGGAAGAAGGCCUUCGGGUUGUAAACUGCUUUUGUACGUAACGAAAAGGCCUGCCUUAAUACGGUGGGCCCAUGACGGUACCGUAAGAAUAAGCACCGGCUAACUACGUGCCAGCAGCCGCGGUAAUACGUAGGGUGCGAGCGUUAAUCGGAAUUACUGGGCGUAAAGCGUGCGCAGGCGGUGAUGUAAGACAGUUGUGAAAUCCCCGGGCUCAACCUGGGAAUUGCAUCUGUGACUGCAUCGCUAGAGUACGGUAGAGGGGGAUGGAAUUCCGCGUGUAGCAGUGAAAUGCGUAGAUAUGCGGAGGAACACCGAUGGCGAAGGCAAUCCCCUGGACCUGUACUGACGCUCAUGCACGAAAGCGUGG
RNAcentral lists this ribosomal RNA (709 nucleotides) under uncultured bacterium. Its description in RNAcentral is "bacterial SSU rRNA". It matches the Rfam family "Bacterial small subunit ribosomal RNA", at positions 60 to 764 of the family's 1533-position model. The record is from RNAcentral.